RNAcentral lists this unclassified non-coding RNA (420 nucleotides) under Hevea brasiliensis (rubber tree). The record is from RNAcentral. Lineage: Eukaryota; Viridiplantae; Streptophyta; Magnoliopsida; Malpighiales; Euphorbiaceae.
GAUCAGCGAAGGAUUAUGGCUUACCUCUAAUAUACCAAUUAUGAUUCAACUUCUUACUUCCAAAUUUUAUAAUAUAAUGUCAUCUUUCACAUUAAAAACAAGCAAUGGCAGACUUCGUAGCCAAUUUGGAACUUCUUCACCAGAAAAUAUGGUGAAUUCAGAUUACACCUUAAAAUUUUAACAAUUCCUUACAAUUUUUCACAAUCUAAGUUGCUUAGCAAGGCCUUCAUUACUAGUUAUUUAAUAUUCAGUUUUGACUUCAUAUUUGUUUCAAGAUUUUUACAUCUUUCCUUCCUUUUCUCCUUCAAGUUGAAGUAAAAAAAUUUUAUUCUCAAUUCUCCUCUUCUAGUGAAGACCCCAUCCCCAUAGUACCAUGACUUUCUAUUGAAAAAAAAAAAAAAUUACAUCAGCUAGACAAAA